RNAcentral lists this ribosomal RNA (606 nucleotides) under Streptomyces sp. RNAcentral describes it as "bacterial SSU rRNA". It matches the Rfam family "Bacterial small subunit ribosomal RNA", at positions 74 to 692 of the family's 1533-position model. The record is from RNAcentral. Lineage: Bacteria; Bacillati; Actinomycetota; Actinomycetes; Kitasatosporales; Streptomycetaceae.
CCUCCUUCGGGAGGGGAUUAGUGGCGAACGGGUGAGUAACACGUGGGCAAUCUGCCCUGCACUCUGGGACAAGCCCUGGAAACGGGGUCUAAUACCGGAUACGACUCCCGACCGCAUGUCCUGUGGGUGGAAAGCUCCGGCGGUGCAGGAUGAGCCCGCGGCCUAUCAGCUUGUUGGUGAGGUAACGGCUCACCAAGGCGACGACGGGUAGCCGGCCUGAGAGGGCGACCGGCCACACUGGGACUGAGACACGGCCCAGACUCCUACGGGAGGCAGCAGUGGGGAAUAUUGCACAAUGGGCGCAAGCCUGAUGCAGCGACGCCGCGUGAGGGAUGACGGCCUUCGGGUUGUAAACCUCUUUCAGCAGGGAAGAAGCGCAAGUGACGGUACCUGCAGAAAAAGCGCCGGCUAACUACGUGCCAGCAGCCGCGGUAAAUACGUAGGGCGCAAGCGUUGUCCGGAAUUUAUUGGGCGUAAAGAGCUCGUAGGCGGCUUGUCGCGUCGGUUGUGAAAGCCCGGGGCUUAACCCCGGGUCUGCAGUCGAUACGGGCAGGCUAGAGUUCGGUAGGGGAGAUCGGAAUUCCUGGUGUAGCGGUGAAAUGCGCA